This 513-nucleotide ribosomal RNA is filed under the name Clostridioides difficile. RNAcentral describes it as "bacterial SSU rRNA". It matches the Rfam family "Bacterial small subunit ribosomal RNA", at positions 285 to 816 of the family's 1533-position model. Lineage: Bacteria; Bacillati; Bacillota; Clostridia; Peptostreptococcales; Peptostreptococcaceae. The record is from RNAcentral.
AGCCGACCUGAGAGGGUGAUCGGCCACAUUGGAACUGAGACACGGUCCAAACUCCUACGGGAGGCAGCAGUGGGGAAUAUUGCACAAUGGGCGAAAGCCUGAUGCAGCAACGCCGCGUGAGUGAUGAAGGCCUUCGGGUCGUAAAACUCUGUCCUCAAGGAAGAUAAUGACGGUACUUGAGGAGGAAGCCCCGGCUAACUACGUGCCAGCAGCCGCGGUAAUACGUAGGGGGCUAGCGUUAUCCGGAUUUACUGGGCGUAAAGGGUGCGUAGGCGGUCUUUCAAGUCAGGAGUGAAAGGCUACGGCUCAACCGUAGUAAGCUCUUGAAACUGGGAGACUUGAGUGCAGGAGAGGAGAGUGGAAUUCCUAGUGUAGCGGUGAAAUGCGUAGAUAUUAGGAGGAACACCAGUUGCGAAGGCGGCUCUCUGGACUGUAACUGACGCUGAGGCACGAAAGCGUGGGGAGCAAACAGGAUUAGAUACCCUGGUAGUCCACGCUGUAAACGAUGAGUAC